Molecule: ribosomal RNA, 551 nt
Filed under: uncultured bacterium
Lineage: Bacteria
Description: bacterial SSU rRNA
Rfam family: Bacterial small subunit ribosomal RNA
Source: RNAcentral
UGGGGAAUUUUUGGACAAUGGGCGAAAGCCUGAUCCAGCCAUGCCGCGUGAGUGAAGAAGGCCUUCGGGUUGUAAAGCUCUUUCGGUGGGGAAGAAAUGGUUUGUGCUAAUACCGCAAACUGAUGACGGUACCCGAAGAAGAAGCACCGGCUAACUACGUGCCAGCAGCCGCGGUAAUACGGGGGGGGCAAGCGUUGUUCGGAAUUACUGGGCGUAAAGGGCGCGCAGGCGGGCAGGAAAGUCUCUCGUGAAAUCCCACGGCUCAACCGUGGAAUUGCGGGAGAUACUCCUUGUCUUGAGUUCGGGAGAGGAGUGUGGAAUUCCCAGUGUAGCGGUGAAAUGCGUAGAUAUUGGGAGGAACACCGGUGGCGAAGGCGGCACUCUGGACCGAUACUGACGCUGAGGCGCGAAAGCUAGGGGAGCAAACGGGAUUAGAUACCCCGGUAGUCCUGGCUGUAAACGAUGAGCACUUGGUGUAGCGGGUAUCGACCCCUGCUGUGCCGAAGCUAACGCAUUAAGUGCUCCGCCUGGGGAGUACGGUCGCAAGGCUG